RNAcentral lists this ribosomal RNA (118 nucleotides) under Anolis carolinensis (green anole). The record is from RNAcentral. Lineage: Eukaryota; Metazoa; Chordata; Lepidosauria; Squamata; Anolidae.
GACCAUUUCUAAAAACCCUAAAGGCACCAGAUCCUUUCUGAUUUUGGAAGCUAAACAAGAUCAUCCCUGGUUAGUACUUGGAUGGAAGACCAUUCGUGAAUACCAGGUGCUGUAGGCU